RNAcentral lists this ribosomal RNA (496 nucleotides) under Sympetrum darwinianum. RNAcentral's name for it is "partial 16S ribosomal RNA". It matches the Rfam family "Bacterial large subunit ribosomal RNA", at positions 1819 to 2597 of the family's 2925-position model. Lineage: Eukaryota; Metazoa; Arthropoda; Insecta; Odonata; Libellulidae. RNAcentral also lists the same sequence under 1 other name. The record is from RNAcentral.
GGCCUUUUGGGUAUAAUUUAAGGUCUGACCUGCCCAGUGAUGAAUUUAACGGCCGCGGUAUACUGACCGUGCAAAGGUAGCAUAAUCAUUAGUCUUUUAAUAGAGGGCUGGAAUGAACGGUUUAACGAGGAACUGACUGUCUCAUUUUAUUUGUUUUAAAAUUUAAUUUUUUAGUUAAAAAGCUAAAAUUUUAUUGGAAGACGAGAAGACCCUAUAGAUCUUUAUACAAUUUUUGUAUUUAUUAACAUACUUAUAUUAAAAUUGUAUUUUGUUGGGGUGACGAAAAUAUAUAAUUAACUUUUUUAUUUAUUUACCAUUGAUAUAUGAGUAUUAGAUCCAUUACUAGUGAUUGUUAGAAUAAGUUACCUUAGGGAUAACAGCGUAAUCCUCCUCCAGAGUUCAUAUUUACAGGAGGGCUUGCGACCUCGAUGUUGGAUUAAGAUAAUAAUUAGGUGUAGCCGCUUAAUUUAUAGGUCUGUUCGACCUUUAAAUUCUU